AUUGAACGCUGGCGGAAUGCUUUACACAUGCAAGUCGAACGGCAGCACGGACUUCGGUCUGGUGGCGAGUGGCGAACGGGUGAGUAAUGUAUCGGAACGUGCCCAGUCGUGGGGGAUAACGUAGUGAAAAUUACGCUAAUACCGCAUACGAUCUAUGGAUGAAAGCGGGGGAUCGCAAGACCUCGCGCGAUUGGAGCGGCCGAUAUCAGAUUAGGUAGUUGGUGGGGUAAAGGCCCACCAAGCCAACGAUCUGUAGCUGGUCUGAGAGGACGACCUGCCACACUGGAACUGGGACACGGUCCAAACUCCUACGGGAGGCAGCAGUGGGGAAUUUUGGACAAUGGGCGAAAGCCUGAUCCAGCCAUUCCGCGUGCAGGAUGAAGGCCCUCGGGUUGUAAACUGCUUUUGUACAGAACGAAAAGGUUUCUACUAAUACUAGGAGCUCAUGACGGUACUGUAAGAAUAAGCACCGGCUAACUACGUGCCAGCCGCCGCCGUAA
RNAcentral lists this ribosomal RNA (500 nucleotides) under uncultured bacterium. RNAcentral describes it as "partial 16S ribosomal RNA". It matches the Rfam family "Bacterial small subunit ribosomal RNA", at positions 30 to 523 of the family's 1533-position model. The record is from RNAcentral.